This 1010-nucleotide long non-coding RNA is filed under the name Mytilus galloprovincialis (Mediterranean mussel). The record is from RNAcentral. Lineage: Eukaryota; Metazoa; Mollusca; Bivalvia; Mytilida; Mytilidae.
CUGUGGAAGGAAAAUAAAUUGGAACACUAAAAUUCUGAUUCUAAUGUAUCCUUAAUGGGGCUCGCGGGUAUAAAUCAAUUUUUUAUAGAAUAAUCCAAUUUCACUACUUUUGUCUAUAAAUAAACUUUUUUCCUAAUAGAAAAAUAAAAUAAAAAUAUGGUGUCAAUGUUCAUUUAAGCUCACAAUCUCCCUUCAAAAGAAGCAUGCAUUUUUUUUAGGUAUUUGUUUUCUGUUGAACUAGUAGGAAGAAAAAGGUAAUAUAGAAAUAAACCAGGUGCUCCGCAGGGCGCAGCUUUAUACGACCGCAGAGGUCGAACCCUGAACAGUUGGGCCAAGUAUGGACAAAACAUUCAAGCGUGAUACAGCUCUGAAUUUGGAUUGUGAUCAAAUUUUUGACAUUACAUGGGUUUUUUUACACAAAACAAAUGUCAAGAUUUUACAAAUCAAUUAAAGAUUUCUUCUUAUUUAAAUCUAAAAUUAAAUAGUUGACACAGCAUAGGUUUCUGACACAGAAUGAAUGUGGUCUAAUGAACUUAAAAGUUUUUUUUUGCCUUUGAGCAAUUCACUAUGCUGUUGAAUAUUAAUCCUCUCAAAAAAAAUGUUUGAAGAAAUUUUCUUUUUAUUUAUGAAAUCUGAAAUGAGAAAAAAUUUAACCCCCCCCCUUUUUUUCACAUCCCCGUUUCCCUUUUUCCAAAACUGAUAUCAAUUCAAAUUUCUAAUGGAGUUUGCAACAAUAACUACUCUUUUAAAUACAUCAUAAAAUAUUAAAAUGUAAAAUAAAGUGCUUGUUAUCACUGAAUGGUAAAAAUUGGUUGGUAGUAAAAGUGAAUAUACAUUGUUUAUUGUAUAAAACAAUAAAAAAAACUUCAUCAGCAACAUUUUAUAUUGGCAAAUUUCCAAUGAAGUUAUUUACAUAAAGUUAUUGGCAAAUAAAAAUAGAAAAUGACAUCAUAGUCAUGUCUGGCAAAUUUCCAACAUACAUUAUCUAAAAACAUUUUAGAUAAGAUAAG